GUGGGGAAUAUUGGACAAUGGGGGCAACCCUGAUCCAGCAAUGCCGCGUGUGUGAAGAAGGCCUGCGGGUUGUAAAGCACUUUCGAUGGGAAAGAAAAGCUCAGGGCUAAUAUCCCUGAGUCUUGACGUUACCCAGAGAAGAAGCACCGGCUAACUCUGUGCCAGCAGCCGCGGUAAUACAGAGGGUGCAAGCGUUAAUCGGAAUUACUGGGCGUAAAGCGCGCGUAGGCGGUUUGAUAAGUCGGAUGUGAAAUCCCCGGGCUUAACCUGGGAACUGCAUUCGAUACUGUCUGACUAGAGUUUGGUAGAGGGAAGUGGAAUUCCAGGUGUAGCGGUGAAAUGCGUAGAUAUCUGGAGGAACAUCAGUGGCGAAGGCGACUUCCUGGACCAAAACUGACGCUGAGGUGCGAAAGCGUGGGGAGCAAACAGGAUUAGAUACCCCGGUAGUCC
This 450-nucleotide ribosomal RNA is filed under the name uncultured bacterium. Its description in RNAcentral is "bacterial SSU rRNA". It matches the Rfam family "Bacterial small subunit ribosomal RNA", at positions 354 to 796 of the family's 1533-position model. The record is from RNAcentral.